GACGAACGCUGGCGGCGUGCUUAACACAUGCAAGUCGAGCGGUAAGGCCCUUUCGGGGGUACACGAGCGGCGAACGGGUGAGUAACACGUGGGUGACCUGCCUUUAGCUCUGGGAUAAGCCUGGGAAACUGGGUCUAAUACCGGAUAUGACCCUAUGGCGCAUGUUGUGGGGUGGAAAGCCUUGUGCGGCUAGGGAUGGGCCCGCGGCCUAUCAGCUUGUUGGUGGGGUGAUGGCCUACCAAGGCGACGACGGGUAGCCGGCCUGAGAGGGCGACCGGCCACACU
RNAcentral lists this ribosomal RNA (285 nucleotides) under uncultured bacterium. Its description in RNAcentral is "partial 16S ribosomal RNA". It matches the Rfam family "Bacterial small subunit ribosomal RNA", at positions 28 to 314 of the family's 1533-position model. The record is from RNAcentral.